GCCCAGGUGGUGGAACUGGCAGACACGCGAGACUCAAAAUCUCGUUCCCGCAAGGGAGUGAGGGUUCAAGUCCCUCCUUGGGCACCA
This 87-nucleotide transfer RNA is filed under the name Candidatus Peregrinibacteria bacterium. RNAcentral describes it as "tRNA-Leu". It matches the Rfam family "tRNA". From Rfam's summary of the family: Transfer RNA (tRNA) molecules are approximately 80 nucleotides in length. Their secondary structure includes four short double-helical elements and three loops (D, anti-codon, and T loops). The record is from RNAcentral. Lineage: Bacteria; Candidatus Peregrinibacteriota.